CCUUUGUGAUGAGUCUCCUUUCAGUUCUGCUUCCGAAGAUGCCUCCGCAUUUGUGGAUAGCAAAAUUUACCAAACUAAAUUCUGAGCU
RNAcentral lists this small nucleolar RNA (88 nucleotides) under Serendipita indica DSM 11827. Lineage: Eukaryota; Fungi; Basidiomycota; Agaricomycetes; Sebacinales; Serendipitaceae. The record is from RNAcentral.